RNAcentral lists this ribosomal RNA (254 nucleotides) under uncultured bacterium. RNAcentral's name for it is "partial 16S ribosomal RNA". It matches the Rfam family "Bacterial small subunit ribosomal RNA", at positions 524 to 776 of the family's 1533-position model. The record is from RNAcentral.
UACAGAGGGUGCGAGCGUUGUUCGGAAUUACUGGGCGUAAAGCGCGCGCAGGCGGCCCUUUAAGUCCAUCGGUCAAAUGCCGGAGCUCAACUCCGUGCGUGCCGAGGAUACUGGAGGGCUGGAGACACGUAGAGGCAAGCGGAAUUCCGGGUGUAGCGGUGGAAUGCGUAGAGAUCCGGAAGAACACCGGAGGCGAAGGCGGCUUGCUGGGCGUGAUCUGACACUGAGGCGCGAAAGCGUGGGGAGCGAACAGG